UACGUAGGGUGCAAGCGUUAAUCGGAAUUAUUGGGCGUAAAGCGUGCGCAGGCGGUUCGUUGUGUCGGCGGUGAAAGCCCCGGGCUUAACCUGGGAAUGGCCGUUGAAACUGGCGAACUGGAGUGUGGCAGAGGGGGGUGGAAUUCCGCGUGUAGCAGUGAAAUGCGUAGAGAUCCGGAAGAACACCGGUGGCGAAGGCGGCGAUCUGGCCCAACACUGACACUGAGACCCAAAAGCGUGGGGAUCAAACAGG
This 253-nucleotide ribosomal RNA is filed under the name uncultured bacterium. RNAcentral's name for it is "partial 16S ribosomal RNA". It matches the Rfam family "Bacterial small subunit ribosomal RNA", at positions 524 to 776 of the family's 1533-position model. The record is from RNAcentral.